UACGGGGGGGGCUAGCGUUGUUCGGAAUUACUGGGCGUAAAGGGCUCGUAGGUGGCCAACUAAGUCAUGCGUGAAAUCCCUCGGCUUAACCGGGGAACUGCGUCUGAGACUGGCGAGCUUGAGUGCAGGAGAGGAACGCGGAAUUCCAGGUGUAGCGGUGAAAUGCGUAGAUAUCUGGAGGAACACCGGUGGCGAAGGCGGCGUUCUGGACUGCAACUGACACUGAGAAACGAAAGCCAGGGGAGCAAACGGG
RNAcentral lists this ribosomal RNA (253 nucleotides) under uncultured bacterium. RNAcentral describes it as "partial 16S ribosomal RNA". It matches the Rfam family "Bacterial small subunit ribosomal RNA", at positions 524 to 776 of the family's 1533-position model. The record is from RNAcentral.